Molecule: long non-coding RNA, 468 nt
Organism: Diachasma alloeum
Lineage: Eukaryota; Metazoa; Arthropoda; Insecta; Hymenoptera; Braconidae
Exons: 3
Source: RefSeq, a predicted model, not a curated record
ACCUCGAAUAACCGCAUGUGCUAUUCCUCUCUAACAUUCUUCAAUAAAGGAAAGGAAAUAUAUAUAUAUAUAUAUAUAUAUAUAAAUAAUAAUAGAUAAUAAUAAUAUAUUGUCUUUAUUAUUGAAAAAAAACUAUAAAUGUGAGCAGAUAAUAAAGAAAGAAUUGAGAACAGUUUAAGGCUCUGGAAAUACAAGGCUUUUUGAUUGUAUUCUAAUCCAAUCUACGUUUGUGCUGUGAGAUCAUUGCACAGUUGGAGGUGGAGUUUUGCAGAGACGUGAAACUACUUCAACAGGAAGGUUAAUUCUUCCUGUUUAGCCGAGUAACGGUGACCACCUGUUUUUGUAUUAGAUAAAUAAAAAAAUAUAUUGUAAACAUAAAUUGUAAAGAUAAUAUUGUCCAUAGGUGAAACUUUCGAUUUUGUAUAAUGUAAAUUGGGUAAAAUUACAAUAAAACGAUUCAUCUUCCCC